This 468-nucleotide ribosomal RNA is filed under the name uncultured bacterium. Its description in RNAcentral is "partial 16S ribosomal RNA". It matches the Rfam family "Bacterial small subunit ribosomal RNA", at positions 28 to 507 of the family's 1533-position model. The record is from RNAcentral.
GACGAACGCUGGCGGCGUGCUUAACACAUGCAAGUCGAACGGAAAGGCCCUGCUUUUGUGGGGUGCUCGAGUGGCGAACGGGUGAGUAACACGUGAGUAACCUGCCCUUGACUUUGGGAUAACUUCAGGAAACUGGGGCUAAUACCGGAUAGGAGCUCCUGCUGCAUGGUGGGGGUUGGAAAGUUUCGGCGGUUGGGGAUGGACUCGCGGCUUAUCAGCUUGUUGGUGGGGUAGUGGCUUACCAAGGCUUUGACGGGUAGCCGGCAUGAGAGGGUGACCGGCGACAUUGGGACUGCGAUACGGCCCAGACGCCUACGGGAGGCAGCAGUGGGGAAUAUUGCACAGUGGGCGGGAGCCUGAUGCAGCAACGCCGCGUGCGGGAUGACGGCCUUCGGGUUGUAAACCGCUUUCGCCUGUGACGAAGCGUGAGUGACGGUAAUGGGUAAAGAAGCACCGGCUAACUACGUG